GGAAGUAAAAGUCGUAACAAGGUUUCCGUAGGUGAACCUGCGGAAGGAUCAUUCAUAAUCAAGUGUUUUUAUGGCACUUUCAAAAAUCCAUAUCCACCUUGUGUGCAAUGUCAUCUCUCUGGGGGCCGCCGGCUGUCAAAAGCCGUGUGGUCACCUUUGGGAUUUAUAUCUACUCAGAACUUUAGUGAUUUUGUCUGAAACAUAUUAUGAAUACUUAAUUCAAAAUACAACUUCCAACAACGGAUCUCUUGGCUCUCGCAUCGAUGAAGAACGCAGCGAAAUGCGAUACGUAAUGUGAAUUGCAGAAUUCAGUGAAUCAUCGAAUCUUUGAACGCAUAUUGCGCUCUCUGGUAUUCCGGAGAGCAUGCUUGUUUGAGUAUCAGUAAACACCUCAACUUCCAUAUCUUUUUUUGAAAUGGGAGUUGGACUUGAGUGAUCCCAACGCUUUUCCUCACCGAAAAGUGGCGGGUUACUUGAAAUGCAGGUGCAGCUGGACUUUUCUCUGAGCUAUAAGCAUAUCUAUUUAGUCUGCCUAAAAAACAGAUUAUUACCUUUGCUGCAGCUAACAUAAAGGAGAUUAGUUCUUGUGCUGACUGAUGCAGGAUUCACAAAGACAGCUUCGGCCGACUUUGUAAACUCGAUCUCAAAUCAAGUAAGACUACCCGCUGAACUUAAGCAUAUCAAUAAGCGGAGGA
RNAcentral lists this ribosomal RNA (695 nucleotides) under uncultured fungus. RNAcentral's name for it is "eukaryotic LSU rRNA". The stretch from base 229 to 382 matches the Rfam family "5.8S ribosomal RNA". Lineage: Eukaryota; Fungi. The record is from RNAcentral.